AGAGUUUGAUCCUGGCUCAGAACGAACGUUGGCGGCGUGGAUUAGGCAUGCAAGUCGGGGGUGCCAGCAAUGGCAACCGGCGUAAGGGGCAGUAAGGCAUGGGUACCUACCCCGGGGUUCGGGAUAGCCAUCAGAGAUGGUGGGUAAUACCGGAUGACCUGGUGACAGCAAAGAUUUAUCGCCCCGGGAGGGGCCCAUGUGAUAUUAGCUAGUUGGCGGGGUAAUGGCCCACCAAGGCUUAGAUGUCUAGCGGGUGUGAGAGCACGACCCGCGCCACUCGCACUGAGACACUGGCGAGACACCUACGGGUGGCUGCAGUCGAGGAUCUUCGGCAAUGGGGGCAACCCUGACCGAGCGACGCCGCGUGUGCGACGAAGGCCUUCGGGUUGUAAAGCACUGUCGAGGGGGAGAAAGGCCCGCGAGGGCGUGAUCUAUCCCUGGAGGAAGCUCGGGCUAAGUUCGUGCCAGCAGCCGCGGUAAGACGAACCGAGCGAACGUUGUUCGGAAUAACUGGGCUUAAAGGGCGCGUAGGCGGGCCGCCAAGUUCGAGGUGAAAUCCUCCGGCUCAACCGGAGAACUGCCUCGAAUACUGGAGGCCUCGAGGCGGGUAGGGGCACGCGGAACUGUGGGUGGAGCGGUGAAAUGCGUUGAUAUCCACAGGAACUCCGGUGGCGAAGGCGGCGUGCUGGACCCGAUCUGACGCUGAGGC
Molecule: ribosomal RNA, 709 nt
Filed under: uncultured Planctomycetia bacterium
Lineage: Bacteria; Pseudomonadati; Planctomycetota; Planctomycetia
Description: bacterial SSU rRNA
Rfam family: Bacterial small subunit ribosomal RNA
Source: RNAcentral